This 437-nucleotide ribosomal RNA is filed under the name Nanosynbacter sp. RNAcentral describes it as "bacterial SSU rRNA". It matches the Rfam family "Bacterial small subunit ribosomal RNA", at positions 1077 to 1533 of the family's 1533-position model. The record is from RNAcentral. Lineage: Bacteria; Bacillati; Minisyncoccota; Nanosynbacteria; Nanosynbacterales; Nanosynbacteraceae.
AGGUUAAGUCCUUCAACGAGCGCAACCCUUGUGAAUAGUUGUAUUUUUCUAUUCAGACUGCCCCGGUAACGGGGAGGAAGGAGGGGAUGAUGUCAGGUCAGUAUUUCCCUUACAUCCUGGGCUAGAAACGUAAUACAAUGGCUAGUACAAUGCGCAGCGAAGCCGUGAGGUGAAGCAAAUCGCACCAAAGCUUGUCCCAGUUCGGAUUGGAGGCUGAAACUCGCCUCCAUGAAGUCGGAAUCGCUAGUAAUCGCAGGUCAGCAAACUGCGGUGAAUACGUUCCCGGGUCUUGUACACACCGCCCGUCAAGCCAUGAAAGUGACCAACACCCGAAGUCCGAUUCGUCGGCCUAAGGUGGGGGGCAUGAUUGGGGUUAAGUCGUAACAAGGUAUCCGUACCGGAAGGUGCGGAUGGAUUACCUCCUUUCUAGGGAGUAA